UACAGAGGUCCCAAGCGUUGUUCGGAUUCAUUGGGCGUAAAGGGUGUGUAGGUGGCGCCGUAAGUCGGGUGUGAAAUUUCGGAGCUUAACUCCGAAACUGCAUUCGAUACUGCGGUGCUUGAGGACUGGAGAGGAGACUGGAAUUCAUGGUGUAGCAGUGAAAUGCGUAGAUAUCGUGAGGGAGACCAGUGGCGAAGGCGGGUCUCUGGACAGUUCCUGACGCCGAGGCGCGAAGGCCAGGGGAGCAAACGGG
Molecule: ribosomal RNA, 253 nt
Filed under: uncultured bacterium
Lineage: Bacteria
Description: partial 16S ribosomal RNA
Rfam family: Bacterial small subunit ribosomal RNA
Source: RNAcentral